GAUGAACGCUAGCGGCAGGCUUAAUACAUGCAAGUCGAGGGGCAGCACGGUUAGCAAUAACUGGUGGCGACCGGCGCACGGGUGCGUAACACGUAUACAAUCUACCUUAAACAGGGGGAUAGCCUUUCGAAAGAGAGAUUAAUACCCCGUAAUAAAUUGAACGGCAUCGUUUGAUUUUGAAAGCUCCGGCGGUUUGAGAUGAGUAUGCGUCUGAUUAGCUAGUUGGUGAGGUAACGGCUCACCAAGGCGACGAUCAGUAGGGGAUCUGAGAGGACUAACCCCCACACUGGUACUGAGACACGGACCAGACUCCUACGGGAGGCAGCAGUAAGGAAUAUUGGUCAAUGGAGGCAACUCUGAACCAGCCAUGCCGCGUGCAGGAUGACGGCCCUAUGGGUUGUAAACUGCUUUUAAUACAAGAGAAAACCCUGGUACGUGUACCAGGUUGAUAGUAUUGUAAGAAUAAGCAUCGGCUAACUUCGUGCCAGCAGCCGC
Molecule: ribosomal RNA, 495 nt
Filed under: uncultured bacterium
Lineage: Bacteria
Description: bacterial SSU rRNA
Rfam family: Bacterial small subunit ribosomal RNA
Source: RNAcentral